UAAUCUGUGUUAGAUAUUGUACUGGGGAGCAUAUAAUCUAACAAAUCGGUCUUUUACUACUUAAAAUAAGGUAUUAUUUACAUGAAAUCCAAACAAUUCCCACAUAUUUUAUCGAUUAAUCACUUUGAGAAUUGGAUAAACAUUGCCAUCCCAAUUUCCCAAAGUUGACCUGUUCAAAUUUCUUGUUUUGUCCAAAACAGAAAAUCCCACUACAAAACAAAGUAGUUUUCCCUUUUGU
This is a long non-coding RNA of Etheostoma spectabile (orangethroat darter), 238 nucleotides long. RefSeq lists it as uncharacterized. Lineage: Eukaryota; Metazoa; Chordata; Actinopteri; Perciformes; Percidae. The transcript has 3 exons. The record is from RefSeq and is a predicted model, not a curated record.